AUUAAUUAUUUUUUGAAUUUGGAUAAAGGGUUUUUGAUAAUUGGGUUUAGUUUAGGUGUGUCAAGUUGAGUUUGUGAUUGGAGCUGAACAAUUUAUAUAUUGAGAGUGGAAGUUUCACGAUUUUAUAUAUUUAAAGAGAACUUAAACUUGAAAAACAGAGACCUGCAAAUUGGGCAUUGUGGUUUAUCAUUUAAGUAUUUAUAAAGUUUGGUCCUUUCUACAUGUUGCUCCUUAUGAAUCCUUUGAUUCUUAGAUUAAGUAAAGUUGGCAUUUAAUUGGUUAAUGAACUGAAAGAAAAAAUAAAAAAAAAAAUCUAAUCAAAGGGCCAAGAGGGUGUGUUAUUGACUAAAAAGUGAAAAUUGAGAAACAUUUUGUGCCCAUCUAAAGAAGCCCCCAGGUGCAUUAAGGAUAAUGUAUUGCAGAAAAUCCUUUGGUGUAGGAUACUGAUAGACGUAUCAUGAUCAUGAUAAAAUGAUAGAGAGAUUGCUUGCUGAAUUUUUCUUUUUUUAGGUGUUGUGGGAGGUAUGAUGACUCAAGGUUUUUAGCUCAAGGCUUGAUGGCCAACUAUUUGUUCUCAUGAUGACCUUAUAAUUAAAAUAACUGAGCAUAAUCAAAAUGGGGAAGGAAGAAUGAAACAGAUUGAAAGAAGGUAGUGUAAUGAAACAGAUUGGUUUGCCAACACUUGCCCUUUAAUUUUCUUGUAAACUGUCUGACAGUGUGGGACUUGUUCCCACAAGCCA
Molecule: unclassified non-coding RNA, 740 nt
Filed under: Hevea brasiliensis (rubber tree)
Lineage: Eukaryota; Viridiplantae; Streptophyta; Magnoliopsida; Malpighiales; Euphorbiaceae
Source: RNAcentral